RNAcentral lists this ribosomal RNA (301 nucleotides) under uncultured bacterium. Its description in RNAcentral is "partial 16S ribosomal RNA". It matches the Rfam family "Bacterial small subunit ribosomal RNA", at positions 509 to 809 of the family's 1533-position model. The record is from RNAcentral.
CAGCCGCCGCGGUAAUACGAAGGGGGCUAGCGUUGCUCGGAAUCACUGGGCGUAAAGGGUGCGUAGGCGGGUCUUUAAGUCAGGGGUGAAAUCCUGGAGCUCAACUCCAGAACUGCCUUUGAUACUGAAGAUCUUGAGUUCGGGAGAGGUGAGUGGAACUGCGAGUGUAGAGGUGAAAUUCGUAGAUAUUCGCAAGAACACCAGUGGCGAAGGCGGCUCACUGACCCGAUACUGACGCUGAGGCACGAAAGCGUGGGGAGCAAACAGGAUUAGAUACCCCGGUAGUCCCUGUCUCUUAUAA